AUUCAAGGCUAAUAAUACAACUCAAAGAAAAUCAGCCAAAAAAAAAGCAAAAUCUAUAAACAAAAAAUAAAAAAAUUAACCUUCGUGAAAAAAUGAAGGCAAAUAAGCUUGUAACAGUAUUUUUAAUGUGCAUGAUGUGUAGUCAGUUGUGCAUGUCUCCACGGCUGGGUGCUUUGACAGUUGUGUAAAAGAAUGCAUGCAGAAUGGCAGAGGCAAAGAUUUCUGUGAGAAUAAUAAAUGUGAUCCCAUUUGCCCUGAUGAGAGGUCAAAAGAAGCAACGAAUAAUCUCAAGCCUUGAACUGAAUCAAAGAUUCGAGGAAUAAUCACCUCUGGCUAGGGGUGUCAAGUGGACCGGCCCAACCCGGCCCGAUCCGGCCCUAGUACCUAAUCCGGCUCGGAUUGACCCGGUCCGUGUUGAUGAGAGAACUUACACAUCAACUUAUCGGGAAGAGCUGAAAUAUUAUCUUCGGACGACACCAGAGGAUCGCAGACGACGGAUCAACACGUUGGAUUGGUAGAGGAGUAAUGAAACACAAUAUCCUGUGCUUUCAAGAUUAGCUAGAGAUAUCUUGAAUGUUCCAAUGUCAACCGUUGCAUCAGAGAGCGCCUUUAAUCAGAGACGACAAAAGCUUGGAGACAACCGACACUCAUUGGGAACCAAUGCAAUGAAUAUUCUAGUUUGCCUUAGAGAUUGGAUUAGAGCGGAAAGAAGAAACCAAGGAAUGGAACCGGAGCCGAGCGACGAGCUGAAUAUUGAAGAAAUUAUGACUUCACGGGAGAACUCAGCAGAAUCAAGUCCAAUGCAUGAUUUUGCCGCCGUUGACUUCGACUAUCCUAUGCAAGUUCCCAUUAAUAUUAACACGGAUGAGUUGGAAAAAAUGAUGCACAAUUUAUAGAUUUUUCAUUCAUGUAAAUUAUAAAUUUUGGAUCAUUUUGCAAUCAAUAAAAUUCCCCAAAUUCAUUCACUCCUUA
Capsicum annuum is the source of this 972-nucleotide long non-coding RNA. RefSeq lists it as uncharacterized. Lineage: Eukaryota; Viridiplantae; Streptophyta; Magnoliopsida; Solanales; Solanaceae. The record is from RefSeq and is a predicted model, not a curated record. The transcript has 3 exons.